This is a long non-coding RNA of Piliocolobus tephrosceles (Ugandan red Colobus), 1306 nucleotides long. The record is from Ensembl. Lineage: Eukaryota; Metazoa; Chordata; Mammalia; Primates; Cercopithecidae.
UACAGAUAGUGGUACAGAUAGUGGUACUGGUAAUGGUACACGUGGGGCCUACUGCUUAUAUGGAAGCGAUCACAGAAAAAUAAAUAGAAUAAUAUUAAAACCGUAUAGUAUUUAUACCGUGUUCGAUAUAAUUAAUAUAUUAUGUUUUUAUAAAAAAAUAAGUUAUAAAUUAAGUGUAACAGAUUAUAUACAUACAAUGGUUGAAAAAAAAAGACAAAAAAAAAAUAAUAAUGGUGAUGGUAUUAACAAUGGUGGCAAUUACACUACAAAUAGUUUCAGUAGUAACAAAUAUAACAAAAAGGUAGAACAAUAUGACGAGGUAGCACUUAGUAGUGGCAGUAGUAGUGGUAGUGGUAGUAGUAGUGGUAGUAGUAGUAGUGGUAGUAGAAACGAUGAAAAGAACAACAAACAACUAUUUUUAAAUAAAAAAAAAAAAAAAAAUUAUAAUUUUAAUGAUAAUAAUAUAAAUAACGUAUUAAUAACAGAAAACAAUAUUCAUUUAAAUAUUAGUAACUUCAAUAUGUACAUAAAUAAUAACGAUUUAUUACUUCUGAAUUUUUUAAUAAAUGAUUUUUUUUUUAUUAUGGAAAAUUUAAAAGUUAACAAAGUAUAUAAUUGCAAGUAUAAGUAUAACGACGUUUUAAUUGUUUCGAAAUUUAGGAAAGUAGUGAUAAGUAAUAGUGGUGGUGGUGGUGGCGAUAGUGGCGAAUCUGAUAUAAACAACUCAAACGAAUACAAAUCCAACAACACCAAUUCUAUCAAUAAAAAACAACUAUUAUGUGUAAAAAAUAAAAUUAAAAUUUCAAUCGAUAUAUUUAAAUUAUGUUUUUUAUCUAAAUAUUAUUUACACGAAAUAUGUACAUUUAACAGUUAUAAUAGUAACGUUAAUAUAGUUUAUUCAUUGGAUAAUAUAAAGAAGAAAAGUGUUAUAAAACAAAAUGGUAGAAUUCUGAACGAUAUACAUACAUUAAUCCAAAAUAAGCAACCUAAGUUGUUACUUCAAUUUAAUAUGAAACAAAUAAAUUUAUCACCAGUUAAUAUAAAAAAUUUAACGAAUUUUGUUUAUGACAAUUCAGAUAAAAUAUCUUUUAUCGAUUCUUUUGAUAUACUUUGUACAUUUUUAUUAAAUAAAAAGAAAAGAAAUUUAGUAAUUUAUGUUAAAGACGAUAUAAACAUUCACUUGGAUAAAAAAAUAAUGAACUUUUUUUUUUUAUUUAAAUAUAAUUUUUUUCACAAUUAUUUUAUUUAUAACGAGUAUAAUAUUUGUAAGCAGGUGGUUUCUAAGCAGGUGGUUUCUAAGCAGGUG